CUGAUUUGUCCUAAGUCAAACUUCUCUAUAUUUGACCAAGUCUAUAGAAAAAUGUGCUGAUAUCUACAGCAUAAAAAACGUGCUAAUAUAACAAAAUAAAAAUUAUGAAACUAAUUUGGUGCUGUAGAUGUUGACAUAUUUUUCAAUAGACUUGGCCAAAGUCAAAGAAGUUUGACUUAGGACAAUUGAAG
This 191-nucleotide microRNA precursor is filed under the name Triticum aestivum (bread wheat). Its description in RNAcentral is "MIR1435 microRNA precursor family". It matches the Rfam family "MIR1435 microRNA precursor family". The record is from Rfam by way of RNAcentral. Lineage: Eukaryota; Viridiplantae; Streptophyta; Magnoliopsida; Poales; Poaceae.